Molecule: ribosomal RNA, 408 nt
Filed under: uncultured bacterium
Lineage: Bacteria
Description: partial 16S ribosomal RNA
Rfam family: Bacterial small subunit ribosomal RNA
Source: RNAcentral
GACGAACGCUGGCGGCGUGCUUAACACAUGCAAGUCGAACGAAGUGGCGAACGGGUGAGCAACGCGUAAUCAACCUGCCAUUCAGAGGGGGACAACAGUUGGAAACGACUGCUAAUACCGCAUACUGUAGGAGGGGAUUGCGUCUGAUUAGCUAGUUUGAGGGGUAACGGCCCACCAAGGAGAUGAUCAGUAGGCGGUCUGAAAGGAUGAACGGCCACAUGGGGAAGGAGACACGGCCCAGACUCCGACGGGAGGCAGCAGUGGGGAAUCUUCCGCAAUGGACGAAAGUCUGAAGGAGGAACGGCGGGGGAGUGAUGACGGCCUUCGGGGUGGAAAGCUCUGUUAAUCGGGACGCGGUACCGGAAUAGAAAGCCACGGCUAACUACGUGCCAGCAGCCGCGGUAAUAC